GACGAACGCUGGCGGCGUGCUUAACACAUGCAAGUCGAACGGAAAGGCCCUGCUUGCAGGGUACUCGAGUGGCGAACGGGUGAGUAACACGUGGGUGAUCUGCCCUGCACUUCGGGAUAAGCCUGGGAAACUGGGUCUAAUACCGGAUAGGAGCCAUUUUUAGUGUGAUGGUUGGAAAGUUUUUUCGGUGUAGGAUGAGCUCGCGGCCUAUCAGCUUGUUGGUGGGGUAAUGGCCUACCAAGGCGGCGACGGGUAGCCGGCCUGAGAGGGUGGACGGCCACAUUGGGACUGAGAUACGGCCCAGACUCCUACGGGAGGCAGCAGUGGGGAAUAUUGCACAAUGGGCGCAAGCCUGACGCAGCGACGCCGCGUGGGGGAUGACGGCCUUCGGGUUGUAAACUCCCUUCGCUAGGGACGAAGCUUUUUGUGACGGUACCUAGAUAAGAAGCACCGGCUAACUACGUG
RNAcentral lists this ribosomal RNA (465 nucleotides) under uncultured bacterium. Its description in RNAcentral is "partial 16S ribosomal RNA". It matches the Rfam family "Bacterial small subunit ribosomal RNA", at positions 28 to 507 of the family's 1533-position model. The record is from RNAcentral.